This 784-nucleotide ribosomal RNA is filed under the name uncultured bacterium. RNAcentral describes it as "partial 16S ribosomal RNA". The record is from RNAcentral.
ACAGUAUACUGCCCGACGACUGGCAUUCAUCGUUUACGGUGUGGACUACCAGGGUAUCUAAUCCUGUUUGCUCCCCACACUUUCGUACCUCAGCGUCAGUAUCGAGCCAGUGAGCCGCCUUCGCCACUGGUGUUCCUCCAAAUAUCUACGAAUUUCACCUCUACACUUGGAAUUCCACUCACCUCUCUCGAACUCAAGACCAGGAGUUUAUGAGGCAGUUCCAGGGUUAAGCCCUGGGAUUUCACCCCAUACUUUCUGAUCCGCCUACGUACGCUUUACGCCCAGUAAUUCCGAACAACGCUAGCCCCCUCCGUAUUACCGCGGCUGCUGGCACGGAGUUAGCCGGGGCUUCUUUACUAGGUACUGUCAUUAUCAUCCCUAGCGAAAGAGCUUUACGAUCCUAAGACCUUCAUCACUCACGCGGCAUGGCUAGAUCAGGCUUUCGCCCAUUGUCUAAGAUUCCCCACUGCUGCCUCCCGUAGGAGUCUGGGCCGUGUCUCAGUCCCAGUGUUGCUGAUCAUCCUCUAAAACCAGCUAAAGAUCGUAGACUUGGUAGGCCAUUACCCCACCAACUAUCUAAUCUUAGGCGGGCUAAUCCUUCACCGAUAAAUCUUUCCCCGGAAGGGCGUAUAUGGUAUUACUCUCAGUUUCCGGAGGCUAUUCCAUAGGGAAGGGUAUAUUCCCAGGCGUUACUAACCCGUCGGCCGCUCCACCGGAAGGAGGCGCUGGACUGGCAGGUGUUAGGCCGGCCGCCAGCGUUCGUUCGGAGCCAGGAUCAAACUCU